AAUAAGUGCAGUUUUGCACUAUUCAUUUCCAAAGUUUGACCGUUCGUCUUAUUUGAAAAAUUUUUAUGAUUACUAUUUUUGUUGUUAUUAGAUGAUAAAACAUGAAUAGUAAUUUAUGUGUGACUAAUUUUUUUAAAAUUUUUUAUAAAUUUUUCAAAUAAGACGGAUGGUCAAACGUUGAACACGGAUUUCCACAGCUGCACUUAUU
Molecule: non-coding RNA, 208 nt
Organism: Oryza nivara
Lineage: Eukaryota; Viridiplantae; Streptophyta; Magnoliopsida; Poales; Poaceae
Source: Rfam